AACGCACGAGACCUGCGGACCUGCGGAGGGAUCAUUACCGGUUUUCGGGUGCGUCUCGGCGCGCCCAAACCCCCAACCCUGUGAUUUUAUCUCAACCUGUUUCUUUGCCGGCCCCCGGCCGGCAGAAGUUUUCUCAAACCCAUUGUAAUCGUGUCGUCUGAAAAAGUCAUGUUUGAUAAUGAAAUCAAAACUUUCAGCAACGGAUCUCU
RNAcentral lists this unclassified non-coding RNA (209 nucleotides) under soil metagenome. RNAcentral describes it as "partial contains 5.8S ribosomal RNA, internal transcribed spacer 2, and large subunit ribosomal RNA". The record is from RNAcentral.